RNAcentral lists this ribosomal RNA (468 nucleotides) under uncultured bacterium. RNAcentral describes it as "partial 16S ribosomal RNA". It matches the Rfam family "Bacterial small subunit ribosomal RNA", at positions 28 to 507 of the family's 1533-position model. The record is from RNAcentral.
GACGAACGCUGGCGGCGUGCUUAACACAUGCAAGUCGAACGGAAAGGCCCUGCCUUUGUGGGGUACUCGAGUGGCGAACGGGUGAGUAACACGUGAGUAACCUGCCCUUGACUUUGGGAUAACUUCAGGAAACUGGGGCUAAUACCGGAUAGGAGCUCCUGCUGCAUGGUGGGGGUUGGAAAGUUUCGGCGGUUGGGGAUGGACUCGCGGCUUAUCAGCUUGUUGGUGGGGUAGUGGCUUACCAGGGGUUUGACGGGUAGCCGGCCUGGGAGGGUGACCGGCCACAUGGGAAUGGGGAUACGGCCAGACUCCCUCGGGGAGGAGGAGGGGGGAAAUUUUGCCCAUGGGGCGGAAGCCUGAUGAGGCACCGCGGGGGGGGGAUGAACGGCCUUCGGUUGGUAAACCGCUUCCGCAUGGACCAAGGCGUGUGUGACGGUAAUGGGUAAAGAAGCACCGGCUAACUACGUG